This 400-nucleotide ribosomal RNA is filed under the name uncultured bacterium. RNAcentral's name for it is "bacterial SSU rRNA". It matches the Rfam family "Bacterial small subunit ribosomal RNA", at positions 355 to 774 of the family's 1533-position model. The record is from RNAcentral.
UGGGGAAUCUUGCACAAUGGGGGAAACCCUGAUGCAGCGACGCCGCGUGAACGAUGAAGCCCUUCGGGGUGUAAAGUUCUUUCGACAGGAACGAUAAUGACGGUACCUGGAGAAGAAGCUGCGGCUAACUACGUGCCAGCAGCCGCGGUAAUACGUAGGCAGCGAGCGUUGUUCGGAGUUACUGGGCGUAAAGAGUGCGUAGGCGGUUUUCUAAGUUCGGUGUGAAAUCUCCCGGCUUAACUGGGAGGGUGCGCCGAAGACUGGGAAGCUGGAGUGUGGGAAAGGCAGGCGGAAUUCCUGGUGUAGCGGUGAAAUGCGUAGAUAUCAGGAGGAACACCGGCGGUGUAGACGGCUUGCUAGACCAACUGACGCUGAGGCACGAAAGCGUGGGUAGCAAACA